RNAcentral lists this ribosomal RNA (447 nucleotides) under uncultured bacterium. Its description in RNAcentral is "bacterial SSU rRNA". It matches the Rfam family "Bacterial small subunit ribosomal RNA", at positions 355 to 825 of the family's 1533-position model. The record is from RNAcentral.
UCGGGAAUUUUGGGCAAUGGGCGAAAGCCUGACCCAGCAACGCCGCGUGAAGGAUGAAGUAUUUCGGUAUGUAAACUUCGAAAGAAUAGGAAGAAUAAAUGACGGUACUAUUUAUAAGGUCCGGCUAACUACGUGCCAGCAGCCGCGGUAAUACGUAGGGACCAAGCGUUGUUCGGAUUUACUGGGCGUAAAGGGCGCGUAGGCGGCAAUUCAAGUCAUCUGUGAAAUCUCCGGGCUUAACUCGGAACGGUCAGAUGAUACUGCUUUGCUAGAGUGCAGAAGGGGCAAUCGGAAUUCUUGGUGUAGCGGUGAAAUGCGUAGAUAUCAAGAGGAACACCUGAGGCGAAGGCGGGUUGCUGGGCUGAUACUGACGCUGAGGCGCGAAAGCUAGGGUAGCAAACGGGAUUAGAUACCCUCGUAGUCCCUGAGCGGGCUGGCAAGGCGCAU